This 503-nucleotide ribosomal RNA is filed under the name uncultured bacterium. RNAcentral's name for it is "partial 16S ribosomal RNA". It matches the Rfam family "Bacterial small subunit ribosomal RNA", at positions 28 to 507 of the family's 1533-position model. The record is from RNAcentral.
GACGAACGCUGGCGGCGUGCCUAAUACAUGCAAGUAGAACGCACAGUUUAUACCGUAGCUUGCUACACCAUAGACUGUGAGUUGCGAACGGGUGAGUAACGCGUAGGUAACCUGCCUGGUAGCGGGGGAUAACUAUUGGAAACGAUAGCUAAUACCGCAUAAUAUCAAUUAUUGCAUGAUAAUUAAUUGAAAGGUGCAAUUGCACCACUACCAGAUGGACCUGCGUUGUAUUAGCUAGUAGGUGAGGUAACGGCUCACCUAGGCGACGAUACAUAGCCGACCUGAGAGGGUGAUCGGCCACACUGGGACUGAGACACGGCCCAGACUCCUACGGGAGGCAGCAGUAGGGAAUCUUCGGCAAUGGACGAAAGUCUGACCGAGCAACGCCGCGUGAGUGAAGAAGGUUUUCGGAUCGUAAAGCUCUGUUGUAAGAGAAGAACGGGUGUGAGAGUGGAAAGUUCACCGUGACGGUAUCUUACCAGAAAGGGACGGCUAACUACGUG